RNAcentral lists this long non-coding RNA (541 nucleotides) under Mus spicilegus (steppe mouse). RNAcentral's name for it is "lncRNA (ENSMSIG00000009408.1)". The record is from RNAcentral. Lineage: Eukaryota; Metazoa; Chordata; Mammalia; Rodentia; Muridae.
CUGCCCUUCCUAAAGGCAGAGGAAGGAAUGCCGUGUCUCCCAGGAUCCUUAGCUCAGCCCUGGUUUUAACUGGUCACAUGUGCCCACAGCAGCCCACGGCAUGGGGGCUCCGGUUCUUAAGAUGGCCUCCACACCACCUAACACUUAACAGUAAAUGGGACCCACAGUAAGUGGAGGUGCAUCCACCCAUGUCUGUGUUCUUUGUUCCAGGGGCCCCGGCAGGAGUCUUACCUGGGGAGAAGGUUGGCUUUCUUCCUGGCAGCACCCUGUGUGAUUUCCAGGAAUGAAUCUCCCACCACAUUCGCGGCAGCUCCAGGCUGUGUCCUCUGAUACUGACAUCACAGACAACCCGGGCCCUCUUUGUGGAUGUAAAGAUAAAAGCAUGCUUGCUAUUCCGGCACCCAGACUUGGGGAAGGAACACAGAGCUGUACCACAUAACCUGUUUUGUUACUGAAAGAAUUUCUCCUUGAAAACUUAUUUGGCUAACAAUAAGAACUGAGAGAGAAGAAAACAAUGCAGUCCGUGAGCCUGACCUGGAAU